CGCAUCUGUGCAUGCAGCAUAUCAAUAAGCGGAGGAAAAGAAACUAACAAGGAUUCCCCUAGUAACGGCGAGUGAAGCGGGAAGAGCUCAAAUUUGAAAUCUUAAAGGGUUUCCCUUUACGAAUUGUAGUUUAAAGAAGUGUUUUCUGUUGAGGUUUUGGUAAAAGUUCUUUGGAAUAGGACAUCAUAGAGGGUGAGAAUCCCGUAUUUGACCUUUACUUUCAACUUUGUGAUACACUUUCAAAGAGUCGGACUGUUUGGGAAUGCAGUCCAAAAUGGGUGGUAAAUUUCAUCUAAAGCUAAAUAUUGGCGAGAGACCGAUAGCGAACAAGUACCGUGAGGGAAAGAUGAAAAGAACUUUGAAAAGAGAGUUAAACAGUACGUGAAAUUGUCAAAAGGGAAGCGUUUGACACCAGUGUUGUUUUUCUGAAAAUCAAUUAAAGAACUGUUUAUGCUAAGCUGUUUAGACUUUAUCAGCUAUCUGUUUAGUUUUGAGCUUUUCUUUAAUGCACUUUUCAGUUAACAAGUCAACAUCAAUUUCUUUUGCUGUAAAAAAGCUUGAGGAAGGUGGCUUGAGAUUCGUCUUAAGUGUUUAUAGCCUCUUGCCUAUGCAGUCGGAGAGAUUGAGGUCUGCAGCGUAGAUCCUUCGGGGCUAAAUGCAUUUGUGCUAAGUUAUAGCAUUUUAUAGACAACUUGUUGACUAUGAUUUGUCUUGUAGCUUACUCGCUUAUGUUAUUUUACCUACGCUUAGGAUGUUGAGUCAUCACACAUCUCU
RNAcentral lists this ribosomal RNA (774 nucleotides) under uncultured Neocallimastigales. RNAcentral's name for it is "partial large subunit ribosomal RNA". It matches the Rfam family "Eukaryotic large subunit ribosomal RNA", at positions 26 to 614 of the family's 3401-position model. Lineage: Eukaryota; Fungi; Neocallimastigomycota; Neocallimastigomycetes; Neocallimastigales. The record is from RNAcentral.